RNAcentral lists this ribosomal RNA (1345 nucleotides) under Zeaxanthinibacter sp. MAR_2010_32. RNAcentral's name for it is "bacterial SSU rRNA". It matches the Rfam family "Bacterial small subunit ribosomal RNA", at positions 75 to 1420 of the family's 1533-position model. The record is from RNAcentral. Lineage: Bacteria; Pseudomonadati; Bacteroidota; Flavobacteriia; Flavobacteriales; Flavobacteriaceae.
AAAGCUUGCUUUUCCGCUGACGAGUGGCGCACGGGUGCGUAACGCGUAUAGAACCUACCUUUUACUAGGAAAUAGCCCAUGGAAACGUGGAUUAAUGUCCCAUAAUAACAUUUAAUGGCAUCAUUUGAAUGUUUAAAGCUUCGGCGGUAGAAGAUGGCUAUGCGUCCCAUUAGUUAGUAGGCGAGGUAACGGCUCACCUAGGCUUCGAUGGGUAGGGGCCCUGAGAGGGGGAUCCCCCACACUGGUACUGAGACACGGACCAGACUCCUACGGGAGGCAGCAGUGAGGAAUAUUGGACAAUGGACGAAAGUCUGAUCCAGCCAUGCCGCGUGCAGGAAGACGGCCCUACGGGUUGUAAACUGCUUUUAUACGGGAAGAAUAAGAAGUACGUGUACUUCGAUGACGGUACCGUAAGAAUAAGGACCGGCUAACUCCGUGCCAGCAGCCGCGGUAAUACGGAGGGUCCGAGCGUUAUCCGGAAUCAUUGGGUUUAAAGGGUCCGCAGGCGGGCAAUUAAGUCAGGGGUGAAAGGCUGUGGCUCAACCAUAGCAUUGCCUUUGAUACUGGUUGUCUUGAGUUAUAGUGAAGUGGCCGGAAUAUGUAGUGUAGCGGUGAAAUGCAUAGAUAUUACAUAGAACACCGAUUGCGAAGGCAGGUCACUAACUAUUGACUGACGCUGAUGGACGAAAGCGUGGGGAGCGAACGGGAUUAGAUACCCCGGUAGUCCACGCCGUAAACGAUGGAUACUAGCUGUCGGGCUUUCGGGCUCGGCGGCCAAGCGAAAGUGAUAAGUAUCCCACCUGGGGAGUACGUUCGCAAGAAUGAAACUCAAAGGAAUUGACGGGGGCCCGCACAAGCGGUGGAGCAUGUGGUUUAAUUCGAUGAUACGCGAGGAACCUUACCAGGGCUUAAAUGCAGAAUGACAGGACCAGAGACGGUUUUUUCUUCGGACAUUUUGCAAGGUGCUGCAUGGUUGUCGUCAGCUCGUGCCGUGAGGUGUCAGGUUAAGUCCUAUAACGAGCGCAACCCCUGUCGUCAGUUGCCAACAGAUAAUGCUGGGGACUCUGGCGAGACUGCCGGUGCAAACCGCGAGGAAGGUGGGGAUGACGUCAAAUCAUCACGGCCCUUACGUCCUGGGCUACACACGUGCUACAAUGGCCGAUACAGUGAGCAGCCAUCCGGCAACGGAGAGCGAAUCUAUAAAAUCGGUCACAGUUCGGAUCGGGGUCUGCAACUCGACCCCGUGAAGCUGGAAUCGCUAGUAAUCGGAUAUCAGCCAUGAUCCGGUGAAUACGUUCCCGGGCCUUGUACACACCGCCCGUCAAGCCAUGGAAGCCGGGGGUAC